Molecule: ribosomal RNA, 947 nt
Filed under: Lophiostoma compressum
Lineage: Eukaryota; Fungi; Ascomycota; Dothideomycetes; Pleosporales; Lophiostomataceae
Description: partial large subunit ribosomal RNA
Rfam family: Eukaryotic large subunit ribosomal RNA
Source: RNAcentral
AUUGACCUCGGAUCAGGUAGGGAUACCCGCUGAACUUAAGCAUAUCAAUAAGCGGAGGAAAAGAAACCAACAGGGAUUGCCCUAGUAACGGCGAGUGAAGCGGCAACAGCUCAAAUUUGAAAUCUGGCUCCUUUGGGGUCCGAGUUGUAAUUUGUAGAGGGUGCUUUGGCGUUGGUUGUGGUCUAAGUUCCUUGGAACAGGACGUCACAGAGGGUGAGAAUCCCGUACGUGGCCGCCAGCCUCCGCCGUGUAAAGCCCCUUCGAUGAGUCGAGUUGUUUGGGAAUGCAGCUCUAAAUGGGAGGUAAAUUUCUUCUAAAGCUAAAUAUUUGCCAGAGACCGAUAGCGCACAAGUAGAGUGAUCGAAAGAUGAAAAGCACUUUGGAAAGAGAGUCAAAAAGCACGUGAAAUUGUUGAAAGGGAAGCGCUUGCAGCUAGACGUGCCUUGGGUUGAUCAGCCGGACUUUUGCCCGGUGCACUCUUCCUUUGGCAGGCCAGCAUCAGUUUGGGCGGCUGGAUAAAGGUCUGUUAAACGUGACUUCCUUCGGGGAGAGCUUAUAGGGCAGACGACAUGCAGCCAGCCUGAACUGAGGUCCGCGCAUCUGCUAGGAUGCUGGCGUAAUAGCUGUAAGCGGCCCGUCUUGAAACACGGACCAAGGAGUCUAACAUCUAUGCGAGUGUUUGGGUGUCAAGCCCGAGCGCGUAAUGAAAGUAAACGGAGGUGGGAACCUUUUAGGUGCACCAUCGACCGAUCCUGAUGUCUUCGGAUGGAUUUGAGUAAGAGCAUAGCUGUUGGGACCCGAAAGAUGGUGAACUAUGCCUGAAUAGGGUGAAGCCAGAGGAAACUCUGGUGGAGGCUCGCAGCGGUUCUGACGUGCAAAUCGAUCGUCAAAUUUGGGCAUAGGGGCGAAAGACUAAUCGAACUAUCUAGUAGCUGGUUCCUGCCGAA